This 69-nucleotide transfer RNA is filed under the name Cirroteuthis muelleri. RNAcentral's name for it is "tRNA-Gly". Lineage: Eukaryota; Metazoa; Mollusca; Cephalopoda; Octopoda; Cirroteuthidae. The record is from RNAcentral.
GUUUUGUUAGUAUAUCCCUAGUAUACUUGUUUUCCAAACAAAAGGUUUAGCUAAAAAUUAAACAAAAUA